Long non-coding RNA from Gasterosteus aculeatus aculeatus (three-spined stickleback), 753 nucleotides. The record is from Ensembl. NCBI's taxonomy places the organism in Eukaryota, Metazoa, Chordata, Actinopteri, Perciformes, Gasterosteidae.
UCUGAUUAUCAAGAAGCUUUAUUGUCUUCAUCAGAUUGAACAUCAUCAUCUUCCUCUUCAUCAUCGUCACCAUCAUCAUCCUCCUCAUUAUAGUCAUCAUUCUCAAUAUCCUCAUCAUCUUCAUCAUCACCAUCAUCCUCCUUACCACCACCACUACCAUCAUCACCAUCUUCAUCAUCAACACCUGUGUGCUGGACGUCAGGAGGCUGUUAACAUGCAGCUGAGCCGGGCAGACAGACAGGAAGACAGACGGAUAACGGAGGAAACAGACAGACAGACAGAGGUAGGUCAGACAGAACGGACGCCAAAGGGGGGCAGAGAGGUAGACAGCUGGGCAGGUAGUCAAGUAGGGGAACAGACAGGUGGUCGUCAGGCAGAGACAGGCAGGUAGAUAUGAGGACUGUCUCAGGUAGUCACAGACAGACAGGUGGUCGUCAGGCAGAGACAGGCAGGUAGAUAUGAGGACUGUCUCAGGUAGUCACAGACAGACAGGUGGUCGUCAGGCAGAGACAGGCAGGUAGAUAUGAGGACUGUCUCAGGUAGUGGCAGACAGACAGGUGGUCGUCAGGCAGAGACAGGCAGGUAGAUAUGAGGACUGUCUCAGGUAGUCGCAGACAGACAGGUGGUCGUCAGGCAGAGACAGGCAGGUAGAUAUGAGGACUGUCUCAGGUAGUCGCAGACAGACAGGUGGUCGUCAGGCAGAGACAGGCAGGUAGAUAUGAGGACUGUCUCAGGUAGUCGCAGACAGACAGG